This 450-nucleotide ribosomal RNA is filed under the name Mactra antiquata. RNAcentral describes it as "partial 16S ribosomal RNA". It matches the Rfam family "Bacterial large subunit ribosomal RNA", at positions 1854 to 2607 of the family's 2925-position model. Lineage: Eukaryota; Metazoa; Mollusca; Bivalvia; Venerida; Mactridae. The record is from RNAcentral.
GCGCUGCCCGGUGGCGUCGUGCUAAACGGUCGCAAUGGAUAGUUGUGCUAAGGUAGCGCAGUCAAUUGUCCUUUAAUUGGGGAAAGGAAUGAAAGGGUUGACGAGGGGUGAGCUGUCUUUAUAGUAUAGUUUGAAGUUUUCUUUUACGUGAAAAGACUUAAAUUUAAAAAUAAGAAGAGAAGACCCCGGCGAGCUUGGUAAGGGUUAUUAAACUAAAAUAAUUAUUGAGGUUUGUUGGGGCAACGCAAAGGGAAAAUAACUCCUUUGAACGUAAUAAAGAUCCACUUAGAGUGAACAAAGCAAAAGCUACCGCGGGGAUAACAGCGCAAUUUUUUCAGAGAGUUCAUAUCGAAGAGAAUGUUUGCGACCUCGAUGUUGGAUUAAGAUUUCCUUUUGGUGCAGGGGUUAAAAAGGUGGGACUGUUCGUCCUUUAAAAUCUUACGUGAUCUG